GGAUGUGAGGGUCAAUUGGCUGCAACAUCUGUCAUCCCACUGAUUGCCAGGGUUGAUUUGGCUCUCUCGGUGGGUGUCCCCUUCCUCCCUCACAGCUCCAUGUGAGUCCCUCCUGAAGCCGCACAUUCAGUGGAAGAGGACAACCUUCCUUGAUAGAGGAAGAAAUGUUCUUAAGGGUAUGGGAGUAGCUGCUGGAACCCCCCCCCCCAACAAACCAACAGAAAAAUGUGAAGUCUCCAAAUGCCUCAUGCCUGCUUUUCUCUAUUU
This 267-nucleotide small nuclear RNA is filed under the name Urocitellus parryii (Arctic ground squirrel). RNAcentral describes it as "7SK RNA (ENSUPAG00010020804.1)". It matches the Rfam family "7SK RNA". Rfam says of the family: 7SK was discovered as an abundant small nuclear RNA in the mid-70s but a possible function has only recently been suggested. Lineage: Eukaryota; Metazoa; Chordata; Mammalia; Rodentia; Sciuridae. The record is from Rfam by way of RNAcentral.